GGGGUCACUUUGCCAAGUACCCUGACUCUGGAUCAGGAGAUCGGAGGUUCGACCCCUCCCGCCCCA
RNAcentral lists this transfer RNA (66 nucleotides) under Candidatus Dormiibacterota bacterium. RNAcentral describes it as "tRNA-Gln". The record is from RNAcentral. Lineage: Bacteria; Bacillati; Candidatus Dormiibacterota.